ACGGGAGGCAGCAGUGGGGAAUAUUGCACAAUGGGCGAAAGCCUGAUGCAGCGACGCCGCGUGAGGGAUGACGGCCUUCGGGUUGUAAACCUCUUUCAGCAGGGAAGAAGCGAAAGUGACGGUACCUGCAGAAGAAGCGCCGGCUAACUACGUGCCAGCAGCCGCGGUAAUACGUAGGGCGCAAGCGUUAUCCGGAAUUAUUGGGCGUAAAGAGCUCGUAGGCGGUUUGUCGCGUCUGCUGUGAAAGCCCGGGGCUCAACCCCGGGUCUGCAGUGGGUACGGGCAGACUAGAGUGAUGUAGGGGAGACUGGAAUUCCUGGUGUAGCGGUGAAAUGCGCAGAUAUCAGGAGGAACACCGAUGGCGAAGGCAGGUCUCUGGGCAUUAACUGACGCUGAGGAGCGAAAGCAUGGGGAGCGAACAGGAUUAGAUACCCUGGUA
This 439-nucleotide ribosomal RNA is filed under the name uncultured Arthrobacter sp. RNAcentral's name for it is "partial 16S ribosomal RNA". It matches the Rfam family "Bacterial small subunit ribosomal RNA", at positions 341 to 792 of the family's 1533-position model. The record is from RNAcentral. Lineage: Bacteria; Bacillati; Actinomycetota; Actinomycetes; Micrococcales; Micrococcaceae.